Molecule: ribosomal RNA, 325 nt
Filed under: uncultured Anaerolineaceae bacterium
Lineage: Bacteria; Bacillati; Chloroflexota; Anaerolineae; Anaerolineales; Anaerolineaceae
Description: bacterial SSU rRNA
Rfam family: Bacterial small subunit ribosomal RNA
Source: RNAcentral
UGCAUGGCUGUCGUCAGCUCGUGUCGUGAGAUGUUCGGUUAAGUCCGCUAACGAGCGCAACCCUCGUCGUAUGUUAUAUGUGUCAUACGAGACUGCCGGUAAAAGCCGGAGGAAGGUGAGGAUGAUGUCAAGUCAGCAUGACCUUUAUAUCCAGGGCUACACACACGCUACAAUGGUCUGUACAAUGGGUAGCCAAGCCGCGAGGCGGAGCCAAUCCUGAAAGCAGGCCUCAGUUCAGAUUGCAGUCUGCAACUCGACUGCAUGAAGCCGGAGUUGCUAGUAACCGCAGGUCAGCAAUACUGCGGUGAAUACGUUCCCGGGUCUU